GUGGCGCACGGGUGAGUAAUGUAUAGGUAAUAUGCCUCUUACUAAGGGAUAACAAAUGGAAACGUUUGCUAAUACCUUAUACUCCUUAUUAACAUAAGUUAAUAAGGGAAAGAUUUAUUGGUAAGAGAUUAGCCUGUAUUGUAUCAGUUAGUUGGUGGGGUAAUGGCUUACCAAGACUAUGACACAUAACUGGUUUGAGAAGAUGAUCAGUCACACUGGAACUGAGACACGGUCCAGACUCCUACGGGAGGCAGCAGUGGGGAAUAUUGCACAAUGGACGAAAGUCUGAUGCAGCAACGCCGCGUGGAGGAUGACACAUUUCGGAGCGUAAACUCCUUUUAUAUGAGAAGAUAAUGACGGUAUUAUAUGAAUAAGCACCGGCUAACUCCGUGCCAGCAGCCGCGGUAAUACGGGGGGUGCAAGCGUUACUCGGAAUCACUGGGCGUAAAGAGCAUGUAGGCGGAUUAAUAAGUUUGAAGUGAAAUCCUAUAGCUUAACUAUAGAACUGCUUUGAAAACUGUUAAUCUAGAAUGUGGGAGAGGUAGAUGGAAUUUCUGGUGUAGGGGUAAAAUCCGUAGAGAUCAGAAGGAAUACCGAUUGCGGAGGCGAUCUACUGGAACAUUAUUGACGCUGAGAUGCGAAAGCG
RNAcentral lists this ribosomal RNA (646 nucleotides) under uncultured bacterium. Its description in RNAcentral is "bacterial SSU rRNA". It matches the Rfam family "Bacterial small subunit ribosomal RNA", at positions 95 to 761 of the family's 1533-position model. The record is from RNAcentral.